This 282-nucleotide unclassified non-coding RNA is filed under the name Dendrochytridium crassum. Its description in RNAcentral is "partial internal transcribed spacer 2". Lineage: Eukaryota; Fungi; Chytridiomycota; Chytridiomycetes; Chytridiales; Chytridiaceae. The record is from RNAcentral.
CCUCACCCCCCCCUCUUGUGCCCACAGCACUAGGCGGGGAGGUGGAUGUGGGCCGACCUCUCGCUAGUCGCGGGGCGGCCUGAAAGUCAAGAUUGGCAUCGCCGCGGGUCCAACCUCCGCAGCGCCGCACAACAAGACGUGCCAGUGAGAAGUCUCUCAUUUAGCGUCGGACCGUGCGGCUUGCGGACCAAGGGUUAGAACCAUCGCUCAGUCUCUGAGUGAGGCAUUGUCGACUCCCUCGUCGCCAGGCGAUACGCCUCACCGCGUGUCGCAUACCUGAAC